RNAcentral lists this ribosomal RNA (375 nucleotides) under uncultured marine eukaryote. Its description in RNAcentral is "SSU rRNA". It matches the Rfam family "Eukaryotic small subunit ribosomal RNA", at positions 646 to 1019 of the family's 1831-position model. The record is from RNAcentral.
GCGGUCUGAGGGCGGUUCGCUUGAUUGAGUGCUACUGCUCCAUAGGCCGUGGUUUUGCCAGAGGUCUCGGGGUGCUCUUAACCGAGUGUCCUGCGAUGCUGGCAGGUUUACUUUGAAAAAAUUAGAGUGCUCAAAGCAGGCUUUUACGCCUGAAUAUUCGUGCAUGGAAUAAUAGAAUAGGAAGUCGUUUCUAUUUUGUUGGUUUUCGGAAAUCGACUUAAUGAUUAAUAGGGACAGUCGGGGGCAUUUGUAUUCAAACGACAGAGGUGAAAUUCUUGGACCGUUUGAAGACAAACUACUGCGAAAGCAUUUGCCAAGAAUGUUUUCAUUAAUCAAGAACGAAAGUUAGAGGUUCGAAGGCGAUUAGAUACCGCC